This 165-nucleotide small nucleolar RNA is filed under the name Camarhynchus parvulus. RNAcentral's name for it is "Small nucleolar RNA SNORD97 (ENSCPVG00000000674.2)". It matches the Rfam family "Small nucleolar RNA SNORD97". Lineage: Eukaryota; Metazoa; Chordata; Aves; Passeriformes; Thraupidae. The record is from Rfam by way of RNAcentral.
UUGCCCAAUGAUUAUAGCAAGACGCGUUAUUAUGAGGACUAAUGCUGGAACUCUUUCUCCUCCUCCUCAUUCUUCUCCUUCUUUGUCCCUUCCUCUUUCACCUUUUCCCCCCACUUUCCUUAGGGUAUCCAGCGUCCUAUGAGCAAGACUGAGAUAUGAGGGCAA